AGGGACCGGCGCACGGGUGAGUAACGCGUAUCCAACCUUCCCGCAAGUAAGGGAUAACCCGUAGAAAUGCGGCCUAAUACCUUAUGCUUGCGGAUGGGGAUGCGUCGGAUUAGUUAGUCGGCGGGGUAACGGCCCACCGAGACGACGAUCAGUAGGGGUUCUGAGAGGAAAGUCCCCCACAUUGGAACUGAGACACGGUCCAAACUCCUACGGGAGGCAGCAGUGAGGAAUAUUGGUCAAUGGGCGGAAGCCUGAACCAGCCAAGUAGCGUGCAGGAUGACGGCCUAUGGGUUGUAAACUGCUUUUAUGCGGGGAUAGGUACCGCAUGAAUAAGGACCGGCUAAUUCCGUGCCAGCAGCCGCGGUAAUACGGAAGGUCCGGGCGUUAUCCGGAUUUAUUGGGUUUAAAGGGAGCGCAGGCCGCCGGGCAAGCGUGUUGUGAAAUGCAGUCGCUCAACGUCUGCACUGCAGCGCGAACUGCCCAGCUUGAGUGCGCGCAACGUUGGCGGAAUUCGCCGUGUAGCGGUGAAAUGCUUAGAUAUGGCGAAGAACUCCGAUUGCAAAGGCAGCUGACGGGUGCGUAACUGACGCUCAUGCUCGAAAGUGCGG
This 608-nucleotide ribosomal RNA is filed under the name uncultured bacterium. RNAcentral's name for it is "bacterial SSU rRNA". It matches the Rfam family "Bacterial small subunit ribosomal RNA", at positions 90 to 764 of the family's 1533-position model. The record is from RNAcentral.